GACGAACGCUGGCGGCGUGCCUAAUACAUGCAAGUUGAGCGCUGAAGGUUGGUACUUGUACCAACUGGAUGAGCAGCGAACGGGUGAGUAACGCGUGGGGAAUCUGCCUUUGAGCGGGGGACAACAUUUGGAAACGAAUGCUAAUACCGCAUAAAAACUUUAAACACAAGUUUUAAGUUUGAAAGAUGCAAUUGCAUCACUCAAAGAUGAUCCCGCGUUGUAUUAGCUAGUUGGUGAGGUAAAGGCUCACCAAGGCGAUGAUACAUAGCCGACCUGAGAGGGUGGUCGGCCACAUUGGGACUGAGACACGGCCCAAACUCCUACGGGAGGCAGCAGAAGGGAAUCUUCGGCAAUGGACGAAAGUCUGACCGAGCAACGCCGCGUGAGUGAAGAAGGUUUUCGGAUCGUAAAACUCUGUUGGUAGAGAAGAACGUUGGUGAGAGUGGAAAGCUCAUCAAGUGACGGUAACUACCCAGAAAGGGACGGCUAACUACGUG
Molecule: ribosomal RNA, 497 nt
Filed under: uncultured bacterium
Lineage: Bacteria
Description: partial 16S ribosomal RNA
Rfam family: Bacterial small subunit ribosomal RNA
Source: RNAcentral